GAGCUUGCUCCUGGAUUAGUGGCGAACGGGUGAGUAACACGUGAGUAACCUGCCCUUAACUCUGGGAUAAGCCUGGGAAACUGGGUCUAAUACCGGAUAUGACUCCUCAUCGCAUGGUGGGGGGUGGAAAGCUUUAUUGUGGUUUUGGAUGGACUCGCGGCCUAUCAGCUUGUUGGUGAGGUAAUGGCUUACCAAGGCGACGACGGGUAGCCGGCCUGAGAGGGUGACCGGCCACACUGGGACUGAGACACGGCCCAGACUCCUACGGGAGGCAGCAGUGGGGAAUAUUGCACAAUGGGCGCAAGCCUGAUGCAGCGACGCCGCGUGAGGGAUGACGGCCUUCGGGUUGUAAACCUCUUUCAGUAGGGAAGAAGCGAAAGUGACGGUACCUGCAGAAGAAGCGCCGGCUAACUACGUGCCAGCAGCCGCGGUAAUACGUAGGGCGCAAGCGUUAUACGGAAUUAUUGGGCGUAAAGAGCUCGUAGGCGGUUUGUCGCGUCUGCCGUGAAAGUCCGGGGCUCAACUCCGGAUCUGCGGUGGGUACGGGCAGACUAGAGUGAUGUAGGGGAGACUGGAAUUCCUGGUGUAGCGGUGAAAUGCGCAGAUAUCAGGAGGAACACCGAUGGCGAAGGCAGGUCUCUGGGCAUUAACUGACGCUGAGGAGCGAAAGCAUGGGGAGCGAACAGGAUUAGAUACCCUGGUAGUCCAUGCCGUAAACGUUGGGCACUAGGUGUGGGGGACAUUCCACGUUUUCCGCGCCGUANCUAACGCAUUAAGUGCCCCGCCUGGGGNAGUACCGGCCGCAAGGCUAAAACUCAANGAAUUGACGGGGGCCCGCACAAGCGG
RNAcentral lists this ribosomal RNA (846 nucleotides) under uncultured Arthrobacter sp. Its description in RNAcentral is "bacterial SSU rRNA". It matches the Rfam family "Bacterial small subunit ribosomal RNA", at positions 76 to 932 of the family's 1533-position model. Lineage: Bacteria; Bacillati; Actinomycetota; Actinomycetes; Micrococcales; Micrococcaceae. The record is from RNAcentral.